CACAUGCAAGUCGAACGCGCAGCAUUCUGUAGCAAUACAGGUGUGGGCGCGUGGGCGAACGGGUGCGUAACACGUGGAUAACCUUCCUUCAGGUGGGGAAUAACCCAGUGAAAACUGGGCUAAUACCGCAUAACAUGACGAUGGCACAUGCUGUUGUCUUCAAAGGCGCAAGUCGCCAGAAGAGGGAUCCGCGGCCGAUUAGCUUGUUGGCGAGGUAAUGGCUCACCAAGGCAUGAUCCGGUAGCCGGACUGAGAGGUUGGCCGGCCACACUGGAACUGAACACGGCCAGACUCCUACGGGAGGCAGCAGUGGGGAAUCUUGCACAUGGACGAAAGUCUGAUGCAGCAACGCCGCGUGGGGGAUGAAGCUUUUCGGAGUGUAAACCCCUUUCGACCCGGAAGAAUGCCCGCAAGGGUUUGACGGUACGGGUAUAAGAAGCCCCGGCUAACUACGUGCCAGCAGCCGCGGUAAUACGUAGGGGGCCAGCGUUGCUCGGAAUUACUGGGCGUAAAGGGUUCGUAGCGGUGCGGCAAGUCGGGAA
Molecule: ribosomal RNA, 542 nt
Filed under: uncultured bacterium
Lineage: Bacteria
Description: bacterial SSU rRNA
Rfam family: Bacterial small subunit ribosomal RNA
Source: RNAcentral